This 8726-nucleotide long non-coding RNA is filed under the name Homo sapiens (human). RNAcentral's name for it is "non-protein coding lnc-GVQW2-1:2". Lineage: Eukaryota; Metazoa; Chordata; Mammalia; Primates; Hominidae. The record is from RNAcentral.
AUUGCUUCCCCUGUCCUUCCUUUAGCUGUAACUCCGGCGGGCGUGUUGGGUGUGUCGUUUUAGGCUCUGUGACCCAGGAGCAAGACGCAAUAAGCGGGUGCAGUGGAGGUAGAAACGGGAAAUGCAGUACCCUUUCCGGAAGCUACUCCGCCCCUCGGUGAGUGUUAGAUUCCCCCCCCGAACUACAAUUCCCAGAAUGCUGUUCGAGCAUGCCCGAAGGCGGAACCAGAGUGUCGCCAUGCAACUGUUCCUUGGUUGUUUCCGAUUGGUUGCCCGGACUUCUCGCGGCUAAACUAAUUUUGGCUCCAAGGCGGCGUGAAGAGUGUGAUUCUGUUCAGCGACCGUGAUUCUGUUCAGCGACCAUGAUGUUGAGCCCCUAAUUGAGAGUCUGUUACCACUAUUAAUAGCUACUCUGUUCGGGCCCUACACAUAACGGUGUAUCUAAACCUCUCUACAAUUUUAUGGACAGAGUCUUGCUGUGUCGCCCAAGCUAGAGUGCAGUGGUGUCAUCUGGGCUCAUUGCAACCUCCGCUUCCUGGAUUCAAGCAAUUCUCAUGCCACAGCCUCCCAAGUAGCUGGGACUACAGCUAGAAGAAUUGAAUUCUUCCGUGUAUCCUUUGCCAACUGUCAGUAGUGAAGUUUACAAUUUAUAAUUUCUGGUGAAUAGUCUCAAUCAAGUUUUAGAAAGAUGUGUUAUUAGAUAUGGUGAAAAAAGACACAGUAUUAUUCACUAGGGCCAUCACUCUUACUCUUUGGUUUGUUUUCUUUUUUUUUAUUUUAAGAGACAGGUCUCGCUCAGUGGUUCAGGCUGGAGUGCAGUGGCAUGAUCACGGCUCAGUGCAGCUGCAACCUCCUAGGCUCAAGUGAUCCUGUCACUUCAGCCUCCUGAGUAGCUGGGACCAUAGGUGCUGCCACCAUGCCUGGCUAAUUUUUUAAUUCUUUAUAGAGACAGGGUCUCACUAUGUUGCACAGGCUGGUCUCGAACUCCCGGCCUCAAGCAAUGCUCCUGCUUUGGCCUUCCAAAGUGCUGGAAUUACUGCGUCCAGGCUAUAAUGACUCUCUUAAUAGCUAAAUCUAUUAGCAGACGGAAAUAAUUGAUGCUACCUUAUUACAUAAAAUAGAGCAUUUAUAGGACGGUGAUAAAAUUAAAGCAAGCAUUUCUUAGUGAAACAAACCAUUGUUCCUGAUUGUUCAUCAGGUAAUUUAUCAUAAAAUUAUUUUUCCUUUAUACACAUGUGGAGUUAUAGACAUUUAUGUUGAAUGCUUUAAAAUUGUCUUUAGUUUUCUCUCAUAUUGCCUUAGUUUGUAGUAAUUUAGAGUAAUUAGAGUAAUAUGAGUAAUUAGAGUAAUUUCUCAUGUUGUCUUAGUUUGAUUACUUAUAAAUUAUUCAGUACUUUCUUUCAUUAAAACAUUAUUAAUAAUAUGAUAUUUGAAAAGGUAAUAUUCUUUAUUGAAGUUAAAUUAGUUUAUGUUCUCAUAGCACAUUUUUUGUUGAUCUGAAUAAGUUAUGUUACUUGGCUAACAAUGCCCAGACAACCUUACUAUUAACUCUAGCAAUCUAGGAUGUAGAAUUGUGUUGAGAUAAGUAGAAGUCAAAAGAAAUAAAAGGUUGGAAUCAGUGAAGAAAUUAAACAUCAUUUAAAUUAUCAACAUGUCCACCUGAGACUGUAAUUGAGAAGGAAAAAAGAGGAUCAGAAUUGAGUUUCAAGAAGCAGCCUCUUAACUUUCCUAUCUUUAAAGGAUCAAACUUGAUAAGGAGUCUAGAGUGUUUCCUUGACAAUCUGAGGGAAGGAACUAUGGGCUCAUGGCCUACUAUGUCAUGCUAAAGUUUAGGCGUUUAAUAAUCCAUUGACAAUCAUCAGGCAUUUAGGUAAACAAAAAUGAACAUAUCUGCCUGGAUCCCAUUACUUCAUUUCAGAUCUUAAAUCUUUUGUAAUAACCAGAACAUUACAACAACAUUAAGCCUUUCAUAUAUGAAGUAAUGUAUUUCAGUAGAGGGAUUUCCUAGGCUCUUGGUGGAGUAGUAUGCAGAAUGACUUCAGCCUCCUCUAAUGUUUGGAUAAAACGAAACCUUCAAAUGGAAUAAGUUCCACUGUUGUGUAAAUCAGUCAAGAUUUUUUAAACAACUAUAUAAGCUCAAGAUGGUGGAGGCAAAAUCCCCCACAUAAAACAUUAAGAGAACAAUAAGAAGUAUUCUCUGCUCCUAUACUCUGCUUCCAUCAUGUCUGUACUCUGCUCAGAAACCUCCUAUCCUGAGCCACAGUGUGGUGCCAUAUGCCUGGACUCCCACCUACCUGGGAGGAUGAGGUGGGAGAAUUGCCUGAGUCAGGAGUUCGAGGCCAGCCUGGGUAAUAUAGUGAGACCUUGUCUCUAAAAAUAAACUUUAAGCAAACAAAAAAACACCCUAAAAACUCUCCUGUCCAUCCCUCUUUUUUAGAGAAGGAUGUCCCCAAAUCUGUGCAUGGAAGACAUGUAUUCUAUAAGAUAGUAAAAGAUCUUGCUGAAAAAUAAAUGCCUGAGUAGUUUUUCCAAAAUAUAUUUUUAAAUCUAUAUAUGUAAGAAAAAUUCUAAGCACCUUUAAGAUGUAAUUAACAUGGGAUAAUUUGUCUUUAAGAAAUGAAACUAACUUCUGUGCAUCAAAAAACCACUUUUAAAAAGUUAUAAGAGACAAUUGGCCAGGCGUGGUGGCUCACGCCUGUAAUCCCAACACUUUGGGAGGCCAAGGGAGGUGGAUCACCUGAGGUCAGGAGUUUGAGACCAGCCUGGCCAACGUGGUGAAACCUUGUCUCUACUAAAAAUACAAAAAUUAGCUGAGCGUAGUGGCACGUGCCUGUAAUCCCAGCUACUCGGGAGGCUGAGGCAGGAGAAUCACUUGAGCCCGGGAGGCAGAGGUUGCAGUGAGCCGAGAUCAUGCCACUGCACUCCAGCCUGGGCGACAGAGUGAGACUCCAUCUCAAAAAAAAAAAAGUUAUAAGAGACAAUGAUAAACACUGUAGAAGAUACGUGCUGCACAUAAAACUGAUAAAAUAUUGAUAUCCAGAAUAUAUUAAAAAUGCUGGCAAAAAAAUAUGAGCAGGCAAUUCACAGGGAAGAAGUCAAAAUGACCAAUAAACACACAAAAGAUGUUCAAACUCACUAGUAACUAGGUCAAUGCCAAUUAAAACUAAAAUGAAAUACCAUGUCUUACACUGGCAAAAAAUUAAAUCUGAUAAUGUUAAGUAAUGUCAAGGUGAAACAGGAGUCACAUACCUUGCAGGUGGGAAUACAAAUAAGUACCACUUUGGAGAGUGGAUUGGUAAUAACUAGUAAAUUAAAGAUGUGCCUAAUCCAUCAUACAGUAGUUCCACUUCUAGAUAAACGCACAUGUGCACAAGGACAUAUAUACAAAAAUGUCCAUCACAUCAUUGUUUGUAACAGCCAAAAUUGGAAGCAAUAUAUGUGUCUAAAUGUACCUAAACAGGAGAAUGGCUAUAUUGUGAAAUAGUCAUUUGUUGAUUCAGUGAAUAUUUAUUGAGCACCUGCAGUAUGCUAGUGCUCUCUGAGUAUUAGAAAUAUAUCAGUAAACAAAAUACCUGCCCUCACAGAGCUUAUGUGUUAUUGAUAGGGAAGAGGGAGUGAUGGGUGGGUAGACAAUUUAAGGCUGGCCACGGUGGCUGGCCCAUAUUUUUUCAUUUAAUGCUUAUAGUCUUCUUAGGGAGGCAGUAUUUAGCCUCAUAUCAUAGAUGAGGAAACUGAGUCACAGAGAGAGUAACUCAUUCCAGAUCAGUAUACCGUGGUGUGCUGAUUCAAAUGCAACUGACUCCAUAGGCAAAUCUGUUAGUUACUGGGGAGCUGCCUCUUGCAUUUGUUCUCUCUGGAGUGUUCCCCCUAUGCCGUUUGUCUUUCCUACCAUUCCAGGCUAUGCCUGGGGUCACCUACUGGCCCUCUCCACUGUUUGGGUACCCUUCUGUCUUAGUCUGUCUUAUGUUGCUACAACACAUUACCACAGUCUUGGUAAUUUAUGAUGUACAGAAAUUUAUCUGGCUCAUAGUUCUGGAGGCUGGGAAAUCUAGCAGCCUGGUGCCAGCAUCUGGUGAAAGCCUUUGUGCUGUCUCCCCCUAUGGUGGGAAGUAGAAGAGCAAGAGUGCGCAACAGAGCAAGAGCAGAGGGGGAUGAACUAGCUUUUUAUUAGGAACCCACUCUGGUGAUGACAGCACGAAUCCAUUCAUCCCCUAAUCACUUCUUGACACCAUCACAAUGGCGGUGAAACGUCAACAAGAGUUUUACAGGAGACAGUCAAACCAUAGCACCUUCUUCUUGGGAAUCUUGGAAUAGAUGAGGGGGGACAGUCCUUCUUUUCCCUGGCCUCCUUAUCUUUUCCAUCUCUCCAACACUAGCCCAGCAGGCUGUACAGCCCUAUGCAAAUUUCCUUGAUGAAGAGCUGGAGCAAUUUCACAAAGGAAUUUCACCACAUCAGACUUUCUCUUGAGCGUCAAAAGAGAAGGCAAAUUAACUUAGGCCGUUGGCCGGGCACAGUGGCUCACGCCUGUAAUCCCAGCACUUUGGGAGGCUGAAGCGGGCAGAUCAUGAGGUCAGGAGAUCAAGACCAUCCUGGCCAACAUGGUCAAACUCCAUCUCUACUAAAAAUACAAAAAUUAGCCAGGUGUGGUGGCAGGCACCUGUAAUCCCAGCUACUCAGGAGGCUGAGGCGGGAGAAUUGCUUGAACCUGGGAGGCGGAGGCUGCAAUGAGCCGAGAUCACGCCACUGCACUCCAGCCUGGGUGACAGAGUGAGACUCCAUCUCAGAAAAAAAAAAAAAAAGAAAAAAAAGACUUAGGCCGUUACAGAAAGAGAGUCCCUACUGAAUACUUUCACUGUUCUUCAUAGAAGAAUGUUAAGAUGGCUUGUUUGUACCCCUCCUUUUAAGCACCUCCUUCUGUGGAAUCUAUUAUCUGGGCAUAAGCUUCAAACUUGAUUAGAUUGUUUUAACUCACUAGUUCUUUUUUCCUGAUUUGGUGGCAGUAGUGUUUUCCUCUUCCUUCUACCACACGUUUAUGAUGUUAUUCUAUUUCUAUUAUAAAUUAAACUUUUGUAGCCACACUCAUUCCCCAUGAAUUUGUGGCUGAAAGAAGCCAAUUUUCAAAGAAAAUCCUUCUUGGGUUUCUUACAUUGUGCCUGAAUCCAAAUGCAGAGCUCUGAAUACUUUAAAGUGAAGCUGAACAAUGGCACCAGUAGUUUAUAAAGAGCUGGGAAGAAAGUGACAGAAACAAGGCCCAGAGUGGUGUUUAUGGUGUGUGCUCCCAUUUGAGUGUAAAGAUAGUCUCUCUGCAAGGACACCUGAGACACAGAGAGCAGCGGGUCUCUGGGGAGGUGAACUAAGAUAUUAUAGCUCAGGGGUAGGAGAAAGGGAAACUUGCUGUUUACGCUUUUCCUUUUUGUACAAUUAGACAUUUAGGGUUUUUUGUUUGUUUUGUUUACUAUUAUACACAAUACAUUUUUCAAAAAAAAGUAAUAUAAACUCAAAUUAACAUUCUGGAAAUGAGCUAUUGAAAAUAUUACAGUAAUUUUUGGAACAGCCUAUUUCAAAAGUACUUAAAUAUUGCAAAAUAUGCUUUUUGCUUUUUCCCUUUGCUACAAUGAACCUUGUGAAAUGCAAUUUUUAUACUAUACAGCAGUGAAAGCAAAAUGAAGGAGUAGACCUGAGGUAGUGCCUGAUAUAAGAACCUGACCUGCAACAUUACUGUUAAUAUCAGGUGGUCACAUUAUGGGGAAAGAGAUCCCCUCCUCAUGUAAAAAUGUUUUUGCAUGUUGUUUUGUAUAAUAAAAGUGUGAAAUGGGUGAGAUUUAGCAUUAUCUUUAAUUUGUUCUUACUAAAGUAAGUGUUUUGAUUUUUCUGUGGGUUAGGUGUGUUAAAACUGGAGAAAAAACAAAUUUUGAUCAUUUAUCUGAGGGGACAUUUUUGGCUGCUUGCUUUAAUCCAGGCAGGCACCGUAUCUAUUGAUCUUCUGAUGGUGUUUCAUCAAGAUGUUAUACUCAAAAGCUUUUAAUUUCCUUUUUUUUUUUUUUUUUUUCUGAGAUGGAAUCUCACUCUGUCACCCAGGCUGGAGUGCAGUGGCGCAAUCUCAGCUCACUGCAACCUCUGCCUCCCUGAUUUAAGCGAUUCUCCUGCUUCAACCUCCCGAGUAGCUGGGACGACAGGCGCGCACCACCAUGCCCAGGAACCUGUGGUGAUAAGGAAGAUGUGAGCCUGGAGAUACAGAAGCUACCACAUGAAUGUUAAAAAUGAAGCUGACGCAGCAAAAGGCAGUGCCAAGGAACUAAAAGAAAACAAAUUUUGAUUACAUUUUUGGAGUUCCUGGGUCAAGCAGUUCAUGACACUGAGGCUUUUCCGCUACAUGAAUAAGUACUUUUUCUUUCCCGUUAAAGUGGGUUUGUGCUGGCUUCUCUAUCACUCACAACAACUGGAUACUAACUGAGGCAACACUUCCUACCUCUUACACACAUUACACCCAUAAAACAGAAACAACAUCUAAAAUUAGAUUUCAACACAGCUACCAAGCAGAAAAGUUCAAAUCAACAAGUUAUGGAUAAUGUUUUAUUGAAACUACAUUUCUCCUCCCAAUGUGAGUAUGGUGUUGGCCAACAUGUUGCGUGUUGAUUCUGCUUGCCUUUGUGUCCUACAUAUAGGAUGUGUACUGUGUAAUGAAUCGUUUCUUCAUUAUUUUUCUCAGCUUGCAUGGUUGCCUCCCUCACCUCCAUUCACAGAGCUCACUGUGACAGCAUUCAACCUUGUCUUGGUACAAGUGUGUAAUUUACAUAAUAGUCGCCUCUGUACUUUCCUCAGUAACUUAAACAAAGAAGACCAUCACUCACUGUGCUUGCCUUUCAAAUUAGAUUUGAUAUCAAAUUAAAGUCUCAUUUUAUUAAGUUUCUGAAGCCAAAGUCUUUGACCUAUGAAAGUAUGUUUCAAUUAUGAAUGGAAAAGAGAAGCUUUGUGUUAUUAACAGGAAAAGAAUUCAAGUGUGAUGGUUGUGUCAAUGCCAUUGGGACAUGCCAGUAGUCAGUAACUCAACAGACAAGCCUGCUAGACCUGCUUUACUCAUUUGUGGCGCUGUUUCUUCACUUUCUACUGACUCCCACCUGUGUUUCAUAAUUCUCUACAUUGAUAUGGUUUAUUACUUCUCAUAGGGAUCUUAAAUUAAUUGUGCAACUCGUUAGAGUCUCUUUAUGUAAAAUACAUAGUCUUCAUACUAUUAGAAUGUUACAAUCUGGACCUACCAAUGUGAACAAGUGAAAAAAUGUGCUGUUUAUUUUAACCAGCAGUGGUGUUUUAGUUAGCUAUUUAUCUCCUUAUCUCCCAAAUCUCAAAAACACUCAGUAGUUUACAACAUGAAGCUUUUUUUUUUUUUUUUUUGCUUACAGGUCUGUGGGUCAGCUGGGAUAACUCUGCUUCAGACUGUGGGUCAUCUUGGCUUGGCAGACUUUAGGUUAAACAUAAGACUGUGUGUCUCAUUCUGGGGCCCAGACUGAAGGGAUAGCAGCUAGCUGGUGCAUGCUGUCUUCGUGGCAAUCACAGGGGUGCGAGAGGCGGAGCUGAAGGACGCAAGCACAUUUAAGUCUUUUGCGUGUGUCAUGUUCAAUGACAUUCCAUGUCCAGAGCCAGCUACAUGGGUGGAUCAUGAAUAGAGGGGAGAAAUACACCCCACCCACUUCAGUGAGCUUUAGGUUUACAUGACUGAGGGAUGGAGGGAAGAAUUUUGGACAAUAAUCUCAUCUAGUACAUAUGGCUUCAAUUUGUAUGAACCCUAUCUCUACUCCUCCAACCUUCUGAUCUCAACUGCUAUUGCUAAUAUGACCUGUGGGAGCGAGAGGACUUUCUAUAACUAGGCUGAAUUUUAAAGGAAGAGAAUGACUUCCAGAUAGCUUAUUGGCUAUCAAUCUAGGAGCUCUUACAGCUGAGAAACAUUUUGACCCAACCCUCUGGCUUCUUUGUUGAUUUAUUUUUCUGAUAAAAUUCAUUUUUUUAAAUAUUAAGCUUUAAGAAGUACAUGUGUUUUAAUGCAGUAAAAAAUAAAGCAUAUAUGAUUCAAUCAUUUGUAAAUAUACAGUAUAACUAGUAAGAAAUAAGGGGUCUCAUUCACACCCAGAUUUAUAGGAGCCAGCACUAUGUGCUCGGUAUAUAAUAGAAGCUCAGUUAGUAUUUGUUGAUUGAAGUACCUUUUCUUAUUUACUAAUGAUUAUUAUUAACAGAUAAUAAUUUGGGCCUGAAAUAGACAUUUCCUUUUUUAAUAUAAUUAUAUAUAUGUGCAUAUAUAUAUCAUCAAUAUCCUCUGACUUUAUUAGUGACUGUUAACCACGUCGAAAAAAGUAAAGGUGUUUAUUAUGCAUGCAUAGAAAAAUGAUAUGUUUGUGUUCGCUCUUUUUAGGACCAAGAAAAAAUUAUUGGUUGCUGUUUUCUCAGUUUUGGUUUUUUUUAAAAUAAAUUUUACUGUGUGUAUUUGAGUUUUACAACAUCAACAUCAUGUUAUGAGAUACAUAUAGAUAGUAACAUGAUUACUAUAUUCUCAGUUUUGUUUUAAAAGAAUACUUGUUUAUAUAUCCUUUUGAUGUGGUAAGAGACCUUAGGAGAAUAUCUAAACGGAUAGUUAGAAAUAUGUGUCAAUAUAAGCAAAAUCAAAUUGUCAAGAUUGUAAGUAUCAGCCAAUGAAAAUGCCAGUUAAAAUUACUUUUAAACAGCAUUUAAAAUU